Long non-coding RNA from Aethalodelphis obliquidens (Pacific white-sided dolphin), 2845 nucleotides. RefSeq lists it as uncharacterized. The transcript is spliced from 2 exons. The record is from RefSeq and is a predicted model, not a curated record. Lineage: Eukaryota; Metazoa; Chordata; Mammalia; Artiodactyla; Delphinidae.
UGUGUCCUCUCAGGUGAUGACUGAAUAGGAAAAACUGAUGCCAUUGCUUCUGCCACCAUCUUCAGUAAAACCAAAGACAGUCUUCAUAAUGUAUAGAGAUUCCUCAUUGAUGCGUUGCAAUGGACACUCCCUGUAGAUCACAAAAACAGGCUGAGAAGGCUGAAGUUUCAAAGUGACCUAAAGGGUGAUAUUGGAGAGAACUGUAACCAGGCAUGUUGACUGUUUUCAUUGUUGCCAUUGGACUAAAUCUCAGGAGCUUGAAUGAUGGAGGCAUUAUUACACAGAGAAGCUCAGAAUGGUAUAAUUUCAAGGCUUCAUUACAGUGCUCCCAUAAGUAUUAGGUGCACAUUUUUAAAAUUUUCAUUUAUCACAGGGAAAUUGAAAAUUGACUCAUAAAAAAUCAUCUUUUUCAAGAUUUCAAAGGACAUGGAAAUUUGUGAAGUAUAAUAUUUUACUUCUUAAAUGCCUUUUUUCCUCUUCUAAUUCUGCCACCUCUGUCUGUGUUAUCUACUAUUAAUGAAAUUUUGUGCACAUCCUUUUGGGUGUAUUGAUAAAUUAAUAUGCAAGUUAUUUUUUGGGUGAUCUAUAUACUAGCUACAGAUUUUCUACACAGUAAACAUGAUUUAUAUAUAAUUGUAAAUUUAUCCAACUAAUUUGUUGAAAUAAUUCCAGUGAAUUGGAACUGCUAGGACUAAGGGUAUCCAAAAUUUAUAGUUUUGAGUCCAAACUAGUUUUCCCUACUAUACAGACAGGACCUCAUCAAUCUUGUUCCCCAGUGUUUAUGUGGGUAUAUUUCCUAAAACUGUACAAAUGUUACAUUUUUAAUCUUUGGUAAUAUGGUAUUACAAAGAAAUUGCUUUUCUUCUGUUACUGUUCAGCUCUGUCAUCUUCAUAUAUGCUUAAUCCUUACUAGUCAUUUGUGUUAUUUUCUUCUGUUUUUUUUUUCCAUUCCAUUGAUAUAUCAAUGUCUUUGUUACUGGUUUCUAAGAACUCAUUUUUUAUUAAGGAUGUUAACCAUUUGUCAUGCAGUGCAAAUGAAGUACCAUAUUUUAUUGCUAUCAAUUUACUAUGGUGUUUUGUAUUUUGGUUGUGUAUUAAAAUAUAAUCAUGUACUUUAUGCCUUUUGAGUUUUGUGUUUUUCUUAAAAAAACACGUUUGUAUUAGUAUCAUUUCUUGGUCUGUAUUUUCUUUUUUGCAUCAAAUAUUUUGUCAUGUUAUUUCUCUUUCCAUUAAUCAUUACUGUAGUUUUAAAGCAUUACAUAUUCAAAUUACUCACCUUAACCUAAGUAGUUACCACUUAUUUUUAAUUCUACCAUAAUCAUAUAGAAAUUCCGACAUGUAAUUGACUGCAUUUCUAUUUAUUGGUUUGCCUUACCUUCUAUUGAUACUUGAAAAUUACUGUUGAGUCUUAUCUAUUCCAUUGAGUUCUAUCUCAUUUCUCUUCUCUUUCAGAAUAUUCCCUGUCUGUACUUGCAUUUUUUUCUCUCAAUUGACGCUUAAAAUUACUUUGCAAGUUGGAAAAAAUAAUGCAGUUUUUAUUUCAUUUGCAACAAAUUUAAUAGAUUAAUUAGGAGAGAAUAGAUCUCUUUAAAAUUGAGUCUUCCUAUCAAACAGCAAGGUGGUGAACAUGUGGACAAGAGGAUCAUAGAUAUCUUCUGCAGUGGUUCCAUCCACAGCAUCACCCAAAUGCUGUCAUUAUUUCCCCCUUUCGGAAGCUUAUUGCAUCUUUGUAUCCCAAAGGGCACAACUUUCAUAUGUGUCCUCAGGAAUAGAAGUGACAUGCUUUUGAAAAGUAAUUGCCUGGAAUGUUGUUAGUAUUUCUCUGUGCUCUGAGUAUAUCUUGUGUUUUUCUUUAUUGUUGUAUUUACCGCAUUACAUUUUUUUAUCCAUGUUUUACUUUACAAAUGUGAGAUUUGUGUCUGAUAAAUGUAAUUAAUGCAACUCCAUGGACACCUUGGUCGUGCCCCAGAUAAUAAUCAGGCUUUCUCACGAGCCCAGUGCCUCCCAUGUGCCAGUUCUUGUAUCAUUUGUAAGAUACUUUGUUCCUCAUUUGAAUCAUGAGCCCACAGUUUUUAGAGUGGUUCCAAACAAGAACCUCUUAAAACAUUUGCAAUACCUGCAACAGGUCAUCUUCAGUUUUCCUUUUUAUUGAACCUACUAGUUCUCAUUCUAGAACAGGAUCUGAGUCUGACUGUAGUUGUCAUCUUCCCCAUACACGAAUUUAAGAUCUGGAUGCCAUCAGAACUCUGUUUGUGUAAAGGAGAGCCAGACCCUUGCCUUGACAUUUUGAGUCAUGAUGAUACAAUCUUGUAGAAAAAUGUUGCCAUAAUUUUCUUGGCUACACUGGCAUUUUCUUCUUUGGGAUUGGAGUAAAAAACUCAUGAGGUUUUCCUUUAAUCCACAUUACUCUUGAUUUUCACUUGUUUUCUGUUUAACCUAAGUGGGCUUAAUAUAGAUGGCUGUGUUUACUGGAAGUUUUGUCUACUUCUGGAAUGUCAGAUGCACUGUCAUCAGGGAACUACUAACUGCAUUGCCUAACCUGUCUCACUAGACAAGCCUGAUACCUAGUGCAUUGAAAUGGGGCCACCAAGAAUGAAGGGUUAUUAAACAACCUAAAGCAAAUUGUAGUCAUUCAUCCUUCAUCUUCCAUUCCUACUUUCCAGGGGUGAGAAGAGUUAACUAUUUGUGAUAUAGUGGUCAAUAAUUUGUCUAAGCUUAUAUAAGUUGAAUUUAUUUUAUAAAUAUGCCAUCAUUAUGGUAUUUGUUGUUUAGCAACUUUAUUUUUUUCUUUAAUAUUUUGCAGACAUUUUCCAAACCAAUAAAUAUAGCUUAUCUGCAGACUUUC